This 497-nucleotide ribosomal RNA is filed under the name uncultured bacterium. RNAcentral's name for it is "partial 16S ribosomal RNA". It matches the Rfam family "Bacterial small subunit ribosomal RNA", at positions 28 to 507 of the family's 1533-position model. The record is from RNAcentral.
GAUGAACGCUGGCGGCGUGCCUAAUACAUGCAAGUCGAGCGAACAGACGCGGCGCUUGCUCCUCUGACGUUAGCGGCGGACGGGUGAGUAACACGUGGAUCACCUACCUAUAAUACUGGGAUCACUUCGGGAAACCGGAGCUAAUACCGUAUAAUCUCUUGAACCGCAUGGUUCAAUAGUGAAAUACGGUUUUGCUGUCACUUCUCGCUGGAUCCGCGCCGCAUUAGCUAGUUGGUAAGGUAACGGCUUACCACGGCAACGAUGCGUAGACGAACUGAGAGAGGGAUAGGCGGCAUGGGAGCGGGGACAGGGACAAGACGACUAAGGGAGGCAGCAGAAGGGAAUCGGACGCAAUGGGGGAAAGCAUGACGGAGCAACGCCGCGUGAGUGAUGAAGGUCUUGGGAUCGUAAUACUCUGUUAUUAGGGAAGAACAAAUGUGGAAGUAACUAUGCACGGCGUGACGGUAACGAGUCAGAAAGCCACGGCUAACUACGUG